UACGUAGGGUGCAAGCGUUGUCCGGAAUUAUUGGGCGUAAAGAGCUUGUAGGCGGUUUGUCGCGUCUGCUGUGAAAUUUCGGGGCUCAACCCCGAACUUGCAGUGGGUACGGGCAGACUAGAGUGUGGUAGGGGGAGACUGGAAUUCCUGGUGUAGCGGUGAAAUGCGCAGAUAUCAGGAGGAACACCGAUGGCGAAGGCAGGUCUCUGGGCCAUAACUGACGCUGGAGGAGCGAAAAGCCGUGGGGAGCGAACAGG
This 257-nucleotide ribosomal RNA is filed under the name uncultured bacterium. RNAcentral describes it as "partial 16S ribosomal RNA". It matches the Rfam family "Bacterial small subunit ribosomal RNA", at positions 524 to 776 of the family's 1533-position model. The record is from RNAcentral.